RNAcentral lists this ribosomal RNA (380 nucleotides) under uncultured eukaryote. RNAcentral's name for it is "partial 18S ribosomal RNA". It matches the Rfam family "Eukaryotic small subunit ribosomal RNA", at positions 592 to 976 of the family's 1831-position model. The record is from RNAcentral.
CAAUAGCGUAUAUUAAAGUUGUUGCAGUUAAAAAGCUCGUAGUUGGAUUUGUGGCGUACGGUGUGUUCCGGGCACUUGUUGUCUGAGUAACCUGCUGUUGCCAUCCUUGGGUGGAACCUGUGUGGCAUUAGGUUGUCGUGCAGGGGAUGCCCAUCAUUUACUGUGAAAAAAUUAGAGUGUUCAAAGCAGGCUUAUGCCGUUGAAUAUAUUAGCAUGGAAUAAUGAGAUAGGACUUUUUUGCUAUUUUGUUGGUUUGCGCAAAGAGGUAAUGAUUAAUAGGGACAGUUGGGGGUAUUCGUAUUCCAUUGUCAGAGGUGAAAUUCUUGGAUUUCUGGAAGACGAACUACUGCGAAAGCAUUUACCAAGGGUGUUUUCAUUAA